RNAcentral lists this long non-coding RNA (274 nucleotides) under Vigna radiata. RNAcentral describes it as "long non-coding RNA (VRAD_LNC010828)". The record is from RNAcentral. Lineage: Eukaryota; Viridiplantae; Streptophyta; Magnoliopsida; Fabales; Fabaceae.
ACACUACAAAGACAUAACAAAGUAAGUAUGUUACUCGAUAUAUUACUUAUAUUUGGGUGAUUUUUAUUUUUUUCUUUAACCAUUAUUUAUUGCAGUUUUUGUUCUUAUUUUCAAUCUCAGUUCCCUGUCUUUUUUUUUCUUUUCCCAUACUUUGUAGUUGUUAUCUGAUCAAUGUUGUACCCGUCACAGUCCAGCACAGCCCCAGCCCCGCCACAGCCCAGCUCUAGCCCAACCCCAACCUCAGCCCAGAGCCCCAGCCACAGCCCAACCAUAG